CCUGCCGCUAGGGAGAGCUGUGGAGCCGAGGCAAACGCGCUUAGCAGCCGAGCCAGCCAAGGCUGAUUGUGCGCCUAGAUUUGAGCGCAACUGGUGGCGGGGUCCUCCUCCUUAUCAUCAUCCGGGCGGGGCCCUCUUCCCUCCCGCACUUGCGAGCACGGCGGUGGCUCCUGCACAGUGCCAAGGCCGGCCAGGUGAAGUUGGGGAGCGGCGAGGAGGGGCGUUGUUCCUGCUUUCCAGUAUGCAGGCGGCUCCACAGUUGCCUCGGCGGCCGCAGGCAAACGACAGGCAGCGGCAGCCCCAGAAGCGCGUGUGAGCCACCGGAGAGCUCCUCUCCACUCACAAGGAUGCUGGGGGGCGAUGCCUGGCGGCAGGGAGGACGAGAUUUGCCAGAAAGCGCUGAAGCUGCUGGUCGAACUCUGCUCCGACGGGACGGUGGAGAACGACAGAUGCCUGGAGUUCAACUACUACCUGCGGGACAGCGGCAGACCCCGGCCCACCGACUCCGAUAUCACAGUGAGUUUACUGUCCUUAGUUGUCACAGCGUGUGGACUUGCUUUGUUUGGGGUAUCUCUGUUUGUAUCCUGGAAGCUUUGUUGGGUUCCUUGGCGAGAACGUGGCCUGCCUGGAAACAAGGAAAAGCAGGAAUCACUGAACUAUACAGAUACAGACACCAAUGACCAUGAGUAUAGCGAGGAUUACCUGGGACAGCCUACUACCUACCCUGACUCUUCCAUGAAGAUUAGCCACACAUCCCCUGACAUUCCAUUGGAUGCUAAGACAGGGACCAAGGAGAACUGUGUGCACAAUGUUCGGAUGCAUCGACAGAUCACAGAGCCAACUCCUUCUGCUCGGCAUAAUUCAAUCCGAAGGCAACUCAAUCUCUCAAACCCAGACUUCAACAUCCAGCAGAUCCAAAAGCAGGAGCAGCUGACAGGGAUUGGGCGCAUCAAGCCAGAGCUGUAUAAACAAAGAUCGGUGGACACAGAUGAUGGGCGGAGGAAUAAUAGCAAAUCUUGUGGGAAACUCAACUUUAUUGUGAAAUACGACUGUGACUUAGAACAACUGAUAGUGAAGAUUCACAAAGCUGUUAACCUGCCAGCCAAGGACUUCUCUGGGACUUCAGACCCUUAUGUCAAAAUCUACUUACUUCCAGAUAGAAAAACGAAACACCAGACUAAAGUACAUAGAAAGACCCUAAACCCAGUGUUUGAUGAAGUUUUUUUAUUUCCUGUUCCUUACAAUGAUUUGAGCACAAGGAAACUCCACUUCUCUGUAUAUGACUUUGACCGAUUCUCCAGGCAUGACUUGAUUGGCCAAGUGAUAGUGGAUAACUUUUUAGAUUUGUCGGACUUUCCUAGGGAAUGUAAUAUUUGGAAGGACAUUGAAUAUGUCACCAAUGACAAAGUGGAUCUUGGCGAGUUGAUGUUUUCGCUUUGCUAUCUUCCAACCGCUGGUAGACUAACUAUCACUAUAAUAAAAGCUAGAAAUUUAAAGGCAAUGGACAUAACAGGAGCAUCAGAUCCCUAUGUGAAGGUUUCACUUAUGUGUGAAGGGAGACGAUUGAAGAAGAGGAAGACUUCCACUAAGAGGAACACCCUCAAUCCUGUUUACAAUGAAGCCAUAGUCUUUGAUGUCCCUCCAGAAAACAUUGACCAAAUUAACUUGUCUAUAGCUGUUAUGGAUUAUGAUCGUGUAGGUCACAAUGAGGUCAUUGGAGUCUGUCAAGUAGGCAACGAUGCAGAAAGCCUUGGGCGAGACCACUGGAAUGAAAUGCUGUCAUACCCUCGGAAACCCAUCGCUCACUGGCAUCUGCUUACAGAGGGCCCUAUUCCACAGAAAUGUUAUGCAGGCCUUCUGCGCAUGGAUGGCUGCCGAAGAGGCUUCCUCACUCUUUUAACCUAUUCAGCAGAAAUUUGGCAUUCCUGUUGAACCCUUUCUUAGCCAUUUUCUCAGGGGCCAUUCCGCAGAGAGUCCAAAGGGCACUGUUCCUAAAGGGUUUGAAAAAUCUGAGCCCCCAGGUCAUCUCCCUUUGGGAAAGGCCGAAUAAACUGUAAUCCAAUUAGCAAAUCUUGGAGAGAGACUUCCAACACAGCAGCAACACCUCAUCUGAAGGAAAAAAACCCAAACCACUAAAGCACUUUUUACCUGGUAUGCAAAGAUUAUUAUAAACCAAAAUGUGAAGUGACUAUCAGCCCCUUAAUGGAAAAUAUUUAGACCUAUACAUCUUUGUUACCUUUUUUAAGGGUGAGGAGUUGUGUGUUUUUGUCAAUCAGACUCUGAAAAGCCAGUGUGGAGAAUGUCUGCUAUCAAUAACGUGCAUCACUAAGUAACAAAGUGAAAAGCAAAAAUAAAUUUGAA
RNA transcript from Rhineura floridana, 2361 nucleotides. It is a transcript of the gene named synaptotagmin 9, with no coding region annotated. The transcript has 8 exons. The record is from RefSeq and is a predicted model, not a curated record. NCBI's taxonomy places the organism in Eukaryota, Metazoa, Chordata, Lepidosauria, Squamata, Rhineuridae.